UCUUCAUCCUGGGCAUCCUCAUCAUUCUCAGCAAGAGAUGCCGAUGCAAGUUCAACCAGCAACAGAGAACUGGGGAACCCGAUGAAGAGGAGGGAACUUUCCGCAGCUCCAUCCGCCGUCUGUCCACCCGCAGGCGGUAGAAACACCUGGUGCCAUGGAACUCGGCCAGGUCCUGCAGCGCCGCCUGGGCUUGGGGAGUGGGCACGGGAGGGAGGAAGAGGGGGUGAUGUACCAGCCUGGGCAGUGGCUAAGAGGGGGAGGAGGAGAGGGCUUGAGGUCCUUCCUCGCCUCUCACCCUUUUCCCCCCACAGGAUUCCCCUAGCACCUGAUGCGUUCCACCCACCUCCUGCUCACCUGCCACCUAGACUGCCCCCUUUCCCAGCCCUGCCUCACUGAGUCCCCAAGCCUCUCAGAUUUCCAAUAAAACGUGCUUUUCUCUCUUGA
Urocitellus parryii (Arctic ground squirrel) is the source of this 444-nucleotide non-coding RNA. Lineage: Eukaryota; Metazoa; Chordata; Mammalia; Rodentia; Sciuridae. The record is from RefSeq and is a predicted model, not a curated record.